Molecule: ribosomal RNA, 253 nt
Filed under: uncultured bacterium
Lineage: Bacteria
Description: partial 16S ribosomal RNA
Rfam family: Bacterial small subunit ribosomal RNA
Source: RNAcentral
UACGAAGGGGGCUAGCGUUGUUCGGAUUUACUGGGCAUAAAGCGCGCGCAGGCGGUCUUCCAAGUCAGUGGUGAAAGCCCGGAGCUCAACUCCGGAACUGCCAUUGAAACUGUUAGACUUGAGGAUGAGAGAGGUGAGUGGAAUUCCCAGUGUAGAGGUGAAAUUCGUAGAUAUUGGGAAGAACACCGGUGGCGAAGGCGGCUCACUGGCUCAUUACUGACGCUCAGGCGCGAUAGCGUGGGGAUCAAACAGG